GAUGAACGCUGGCGGCGUGCUUAACACAUGCAAGUCGAACGAUGAAGCCCAGCUUGCUGGGUGGAUUAGUGGCGAACGGGUGAGUAACACGUGAGUAACCUGCCCUUGACUCUGGGAUAAGCCCGGGAAACUGGGUCUAAUACCGGAUAGGAGCGCCUGUCGCAUGACGGGUGUUGGAAAGAUUUUUCGGUCAUGGAUGGACUCGCGGCCUAUCAGCUUGUUGGUGAGGUAAUGGCUCACCAAGGCGACGACGGGUAGCCGGCCUGAGAGGGUGACCGGCCACACUGGGACUGAGGCACGGCCCAGACUCCUACGGGAGGCAGCAGUGGGGAAUAUUGCACAAUGGGCGGAAGCCUGAUGCAGCGACGCCGCGUGAGGGAUGACGGCCUUCGGGUUGUAAACCUCUUUCAGUAGGGAAGAAGCGAAAGUGACGGUACCUGCAGAAGAAGCACCGGCUAACUACGUG
RNAcentral lists this ribosomal RNA (466 nucleotides) under uncultured bacterium. RNAcentral's name for it is "partial 16S ribosomal RNA". It matches the Rfam family "Bacterial small subunit ribosomal RNA", at positions 28 to 507 of the family's 1533-position model. The record is from RNAcentral.